RNAcentral lists this ribosomal RNA (2931 nucleotides) under Escherichia coli. RNAcentral's name for it is "23S ribosomal RNA". It matches the Rfam family "Bacterial large subunit ribosomal RNA". Lineage: Bacteria; Pseudomonadati; Pseudomonadota; Gammaproteobacteria; Enterobacterales; Enterobacteriaceae. The record is from RNAcentral.
GGGUUGUGAGGUUAAGCGACUAAGCGUACACGGUGGAUGCCCUGGCAGUCAGAGGCGAUGAAGGACGUGCUAAUCUGCGAUAAGCGUCGGUAAGGUGAUAUGAACCGUUAUAACCGGCGAUUUCCGAAUGGGGAAACCCAGUGUGUUUCGACACACUAUCAUUAACUGAAUCCAUAGGUUAAUGAGGCGAACCGGGGGAACUGAAACAUCUAAGUACCCCGAGGAAAAGAAAUCAACCGAGAUUCCCCCAGUAGCGGCGAGCGAACGGGGAGGAGCCCAGAGCCUGAAUCAGUGUGUGUGUUAGUGGAAGCGUCUGGAAAGGCGCGCGAUACAGGGUGACAGCCCCGUACACAAAAAUGCACAUGCUGUGAGCUCGAUGAGUAGGGCGGGACACGUGGUAUCCUGUCUGAAUAUGGGGGGACCAUCCUCCAAGGCUAAAUACUCCUGACUGACCGAUAGUGAACCAGUACCGUGAGGGAAAGGCGAAAAGAACCCCGGCGAGGGGAGUGAAAAAGAACCUGAAACCGUGUACGUACAAGCAGUGGGAGCCUCUUAAUGGGGUGACUGCGUACCUUUUGUAUAAUGGGUCAGCGACUUAUAUUCUGUAGCAAGGUUAACCGAAUAGGGGAGCCGAAGGGAAACCGAGUCUUAACUGGGCGUUAAGUUGCAGGGUAUAGACCCGAAACCCGGUGAUCUAGCCAUGGGCAGGUUGAAGGUUGGGUAACACUAACUGGAGGACCGAACCGACUAAUGUUGAAAAAUUAGCGGAUGACUUGUGGCUGGGGGUGAAAGGCCAAUCAAACCGGGAGAUAGCUGGUUCUCCCCGAAAGCUAUUUAGGUAGCGCCUCGUGAAUUCAUCUCCGGGGGUAGAGCACUGUUUCGGCAAGGGGGUCAUCCCGACUUACCAACCCGAUGCAAACUGCGAAUACCGGAGAAUGUUAUCACGGGAGACACACGGCGGGUGCUAACGUCCGUCGUGAAGAGGGAAACAACCCAGACCGCCAGCUAAGGUCCCAAAGUCAUGGUUAAGUGGGAAACGAUGUGGGAAGGCCCAGACAGCCAGGAUGUUGGCUUAGAAGCAGCCAUCAUUUAAAGAAAGCGUAAUAGCUCACUGGUCGAGUCGGCCUGCGCGGAAGAUGUAACGGGGCUAAACCAUGCACCGAAGCUGCGGCAGCGACACUAUGUGUUGUUGGGUAGGGGAGCGUUCUGUAAGCCUGUGAAGGUGUACUGUGAGGUAUGCUGGAGGUAUCAGAAGUGCGAAUGCUGACAUAAGUAACGAUAAAGCGGGUGAAAAGCCCGCUCGCCGGAAGACCAAGGGUUCCUGUCCAACGUUAAUCGGGGCAGGGUGAGUCGACCCCUAAGGCGAGGCCGAAAGGCGUAGUCGAUGGGAAACAGGUUAAUAUUCCUGUACUUGGUGUUACUGCGAAGGGGGGACGGAGAAGGCUAUGUUGGCCGGGCGACGGUUGUCCCGGUUUAAGCGUGUAGGCUGGUUUUCCAGGCAAAUCCGGAAAAUCAAGGCUGAGGCGUGAUGACGAGGCACUACGGUGCUGAAGCAACAAAUGCCCUGCUUCCAGGAAAAGCCUCUAAGCAUCAGGUAACAUCAAAUCGUACCCCAAACCGACACAGGUGGUCAGGUAGAGAAUACCAAGGCGCUUGAGAGAACUCGGGUGAAGGAACUAGGCAAAAUGGUGCCGUAACUUCGGGAGAAGGCACGCUGAUAUGUAGGUGAAGUCCCUCGCGGAUGGAGCUGAAAUCAGUCGAAGAUACCAGCUGGCUGCAACUGUUUAUUAAAAACACAGCACUGUGCAAACACGAAAGUGGACGUAUACGGUGUGACGCCUGCCCGGUGCCGGAAGGUUAAUUGAUGGGGUUAGCGGUAACGCGAAGCUCUUGAUCGAAGCCCCGGUAAACGGCGGCCGUAACUAUAACGGUCCUAAGGUAGCGAAAUUCCUUGUCGGGUAAGUUCCGACCUGCACGAAUGGCGUAAUGAUGGCCAGGCUGUCUCCACCCGAGACUCAGUGAAAUUGAACUCGCUGUGAAGAUGCAGUGUACCCGCGGCAAGACGGAAAGACCCCGUGAACCUUUACUAUAGCUUGACACUGAACAUUGAGCCUUGAUGUGUAGGAUAGGUGGGAGGCUUUGAAGUGUGGACGCCAGUCUGCAUGGAGCCGGCCUUGAAAUACCACCCUUUAAUGUUUGAUGUUCUAACGUUGGCCCCUGAUCGGGGUUGCGGACAGUGUCUGGUGGGUAGUUUGACUGGGGCGGUCUCCUCCUAAAGAGUAACGGAGGAGCACGAAGGUUGGCUAAUCCUGGUCGGACAUCAGGAGGUUAGUGCAAUGGCAUAAGCCAGCUUGACUGCGAGCGUGACGGCGCGAGCAGGUGCGAAAGCAGGUCAUAGUGAUCCGGUGGUUCUGAAUGGAAGGGCCAUCGCUCAACGGAUAAAAGGUACUCCGGGGAUAACAGGCUGAUACCGCCCAAGAGUUCAUAUCGACGGCGGUGUUUGGCACCUCGAUGUCGGCUCAUCACAUCCUGGGGCUGAAGUAGGUCCCAAGGGUAUGGCUGUUCGCCAUUUAAAGUGGUACGCGAGCUGGGUUUAGAACGUCGUGAGACAGUUCGGUCCCUAUCUGCCGUGGGCGCUGGAGAACUGAGGGGGGCUGCUCCUAGUACGAGAGGACCGGAGUGGACGCAUCACUGGUGUUCGGGUUGUCAUGCCAAUGGCACUGCCCGGUAGCUAAAUGCGGAAGAGAUAAGUGCUGAAAGCAUCUAAGCACGAAACUUGCCCCGAGAUGAGUUCUCCCUGACUCUUUAAGGGUCCUGAAGGAACGUUGAAGACGACGACGUUGAUAGGCCGGGUGUGUAAGCGCAGCGAUGCGUUGAGCUAACCGGUACUAAUGAACCGUGAGGCUUAACCUUACAACGCCGAAGGUGUUU